ACUUCAAACCUCGUCCAAAAAGAAGAAGAAUCCAUUAAAGGUCUCAAAACUUUCAUAAAACCCACAUUUCAACCAUGAACGCCAAAAUGAUCACAGUAUUGGUACUUGUCGCCCUGUUCGGGCUUGCGGUCACUACCCCGGUCGAUAACAGUACUUACGACACUCUUGAAAUUUUUGUCCAAGGUGUCGGGGGACGUGGACCAUGUCGCAUAACUGGAGAGGGGUGUGGACCCUGCUCUGGGGGAGGUUGCCCCUGCGGAGGUCCUGGUCAACGGGAAUGCUGCUGCAGCCACGUGUGCAACUCACAUGACGGCGUGUGGGGGUGGUGCGCUUAAGGCUGACUUUUAUGGACAAUGGACAUCUUAAGGACUACUUUAUGGCAAUAUUUCCCAAAUUAUGAUAAACUCUAACAGAAGUUAGCAUACAUAUUUAAUUUAUUGCUUAAAAUGUACACGCAUGCAAGUUAGAAUUCUGUAUAAAUUAUACCAGUCUCGAAAUUAUUUAGUAAUAAAUAAAUAUGCAAAUUCCAA
Molecule: long non-coding RNA, 530 nt
Organism: Folsomia candida
Lineage: Eukaryota; Metazoa; Arthropoda; Collembola; Entomobryomorpha; Isotomidae
Exons: 2
Source: RefSeq, a predicted model, not a curated record